Molecule: long non-coding RNA, 1044 nt
Organism: Carassius gibelio (silver crucian carp)
Lineage: Eukaryota; Metazoa; Chordata; Actinopteri; Cypriniformes; Cyprinidae
Exons: 5
Source: RefSeq, a predicted model, not a curated record
UUUUUCUUACCACUGAUGCAUUUUUCAUGUUCCCCGGAGCCCUCACGAUAAGAACUGACCCACAAUGCAACUCUUCCUGCUGGGCUGAAAAGCAGGGAGUGGCUUCUCUCAGGCCUCUCCCUCUGCUGCAGUCAACAGGACGUGCUCGAAGGAUAUGGGAUCUUGCAGAACCUUUCUGCGACGACUCCUGGUGGGCAAUGGCACCUAUUAACACAAACAGCAGACUGUGUGUAGAGCUCUGGGGCCACUUAAAAGGCGAUCAUAUGGGCUGUAAACGCAUACUGAAGUCUUCUUAAACGACACAGAGAACCAUCAAUUCAAAUUGACUUCACAGUGCAAAGACCCUUUUACUGCCAAGUCUUUACUGCUUUUAGUCUCCAAGAAUAUGGAGUACGUCAGGCAUUGGCUUAAUGUCCUGGGACAUCAAGUAACCGCAAGCUAAUGAGAUGGCCGAACCCUAGACGUUUGACACAGAAUUCAAUUAGACGGCACUCUCACUACCUUUUACAGAGAUGGGAUGUCUACUUUGAGACGCAUCAAAGCCUUCUCCAUCAAGCUCCACUGAGGGAUUUAGAAAGGGUGAAGUUGCCGGUGGGAUCAUUCGUCUUUCUGGCCACGCUUUCAAUUACAGAGCGGUGGCCUCCAAAACAAUCCCUCAGCAGGCUGCAUGACAGACAGAGCUGGGAGUUUUGAGAGACUUCAGAUAAAACCACAAAGGAUGAUCGAUAAGUCAUCAGGGACGGAGGGAGGAGGAAGAGAAAUCAAGGAGUGGGAGAGAAGAGAAGAGAGAGAAUUGGAAAGAAGACAUUUGAGAAAAAUAUAAAAAUUUGAUGUAAUAUAAAUACAGACCACAAUGUCAUGUUUUGCCAUGGUAUUCAUUGAAGUGCCAUAUGAUAACCAUUGUACUCUAUAUGAAGAUGGUUGCUGUGGACAUUUUGUGCUUUUUUUGUUACCUUAAUUCAAUCAAUUGAAUUAAUUCAGUUUAUUUUUAUUUUAUUUUAUUUUAUUUGUUAUUGUUUUAUUAAUUAUAUUGGUGUUAGUCCA